This 617-nucleotide unclassified non-coding RNA is filed under the name Hevea brasiliensis (rubber tree). The record is from RNAcentral. Lineage: Eukaryota; Viridiplantae; Streptophyta; Magnoliopsida; Malpighiales; Euphorbiaceae.
GUGAUUUCUAAGCAACUCUUUCUUUUUUUUUAAUUAGUUUUUAUCCCAAUUUCAAAUCCGAUUGUUGUUGGAUUUUAGGGUUUCUUCUGGUUCUAAUAAAAUUUCAACGGAAUUUUAGGGUGGGGAUUGGGAGGAGGUGUAGGAAAUUUCGAAUGACUUGUUUCUUUUGCAGUUUAGGUGAUCAUUUUCCAAGCUGUUAGUGUCAUAUGUGAUAUAUAAUAUAUUCUCUCAAUUUAAGCAUUGAAAUACCUCCGGUUCUUGAGCUCACUUGGAUGUAUUAAGUUUGAUUUUUUCUCCAUUAUUUUUGUACAUCUUUUAUCUGCUCCUUUGUGGAUUUUGUGCUCUUUGUUUCUCUAUUUCUAAUGUGUAUUUUAAUUAUCGUGCUCCAGAAAAAAGGGAAUAAUCCUUAUUUCCACGCUUCAACUUUACAAUAUUUGCUAUCGAACCCUUUAUGAGAAAUUAUUUAAUAUAGAAUCCUUUUUUUGGGGGGAUAAUAGAAUACUUGAAGUUUUUUAUUUGGUUCUGUUGAGUCCAAUUUUACCAUCAAAGUUGAUUUCCAACUAAGAUCUUGAGAGUUUUUUUUCCCCUAUUUUUUAAUCUUGAAAAGUAUGAUACUA